GGCCGGCGUGGCCGAGUUCGACGCCAGCCGGCUGCUGCCCGGCGACGCCGCGCGCUGGCAGGGGCCGCUCGCGGUGCUGUCCACGGCCUGCUC
Molecule: transfer RNA, 93 nt
Filed under: Burkholderia plantarii
Lineage: Bacteria; Pseudomonadati; Pseudomonadota; Betaproteobacteria; Burkholderiales; Burkholderiaceae
Description: tRNA-Ser
Source: RNAcentral